This 512-nucleotide ribosomal RNA is filed under the name uncultured bacterium. Its description in RNAcentral is "partial 16S ribosomal RNA". It matches the Rfam family "Bacterial small subunit ribosomal RNA", at positions 28 to 507 of the family's 1533-position model. The record is from RNAcentral.
GAUGAACGCUGGCGGCGUGCCUAAUACAUGCAAGUCGAACGAAACUUCUUUAUCACCGAGUGCUUGCACUCACCGAUAAAGAGUUGAGUGGCGAACGGGUGAGUAACACGUGGGCAACCUGCCCAAAAGAGGGGGAUAACACUUGGAAACAGGUGCUAAUACCGCAUAACCAUAGUUACCGCAUGGUAACUAUGUACAAGGUGGCUAUACUACCGCUUUUGGAUGGGCCGGCGGCGGAUUAGCUAGUUGGUAGGGUAAAGGCUUACCAAGGCAAUGAUGCGUAGCUGGUGUGAGAGGUUGAUCGGCCAAAUUGGAACUGAGACACGGACAAAACUCCUGCGGGAGGCAGCAGUGGGGAAUUUUGCACAAGGGGGGAAAGCCUGAUGAAGCAACGCCGGGUGGGUGAAGAAGGCUUUCGGGUGGUAAAACCCUUUUGUUGGGAAAGAAAGGGAGGAGGAGAAUCUGUUGACGUUCGGACGUUACCAAAAAAAAAAGCACCGGCUAACUCCGUG